GACGAACGCUGGCGGCGUGCUUAACACAUGCAAGUCGAACGGAAAGACCCUGCCUUUGUGCUGUGCUCGAGUGGCGAACGGGUGAGUAACACGUAAGUAACCUGCCCUUGACUUUGGGAUAACUUCAGGAAACUGGGGCUAAUACCGGAUAGGAGCUCCUGUUGCAUGGCAGGGGUUGGAAAGUUUCGGCGGCUGGGGAUGGACUUGCGGCUGAUCAGCUUGUUGGUGGGGUAGUGGCUUACCAAGGCUUUGACGGGUAGCCAGCCUGGGAGGGUGACCGGCCACAGUGGGACUGGGAUACGACCCAGAGUGCUACGGGGGGCAGCAGUGGGGAAUAUUGCACAAUGGGCGGAAGCCGGAUACAACAACGCCGCGUGCGGGAUGACGGCCUUCGGGUUGUAAACCGCGUGCGCCUGUGACGAAGCGUGAGUGACGGUAAUGGAUAAAGAAGCACCGGCUAACUACGUG
This 468-nucleotide ribosomal RNA is filed under the name uncultured bacterium. Its description in RNAcentral is "partial 16S ribosomal RNA". It matches the Rfam family "Bacterial small subunit ribosomal RNA", at positions 28 to 507 of the family's 1533-position model. The record is from RNAcentral.